This 40-nucleotide ribosomal RNA is filed under the name Fusarium equiseti. RNAcentral's name for it is "partial 28S ribosomal RNA". RNAcentral also lists the same sequence under 5 other names. The record is from RNAcentral. Lineage: Eukaryota; Fungi; Ascomycota; Sordariomycetes; Hypocreales; Nectriaceae.
UGACCUCGGAUCAGGUAGGAAUACCCGCUGAACUUAAGCA